RNAcentral lists this ribosomal RNA (496 nucleotides) under uncultured bacterium. RNAcentral's name for it is "partial 16S ribosomal RNA". It matches the Rfam family "Bacterial small subunit ribosomal RNA", at positions 28 to 507 of the family's 1533-position model. The record is from RNAcentral.
GAUGAACGCUGGCGGCGUGCCUAAUACAUGCAAGUCGAGCGAACGGACGAGAAGCUUGCUUCUCUGAUGUUAGCGGCGGACGGGUGAGUAACACGUGGAUAACCUACCUAUAAGACUGGGAUAACUUCGGGAAACCGGAGCUAAUACCGGAUGAUAUUUUGAACCGCAUGGUUCAAAAGUGAAAGACGGUCUUGCUGUCACUUAUAGAUGGAUCCGCGCUGCAUUAGCUAGUUGGUAAGGUAACGGCUUACCAAGGCAACGAUGCAUAGCCGACCUGAGAGGGUGAUCGGCCACACUGGAACUGAGACACGGUCCAGACUCCUACGGGAGGCAGCAGUAGGGAAUCUUCCGCAAUGGGCGAAAGCCUGACGGAGCAACGCCGCGUGAGUGAUGAAGGUCUUCGGAUCGUAAAACUCUGUUAUUAGGGAAGAACAUAUGUGUAAGUAACUGUGCACAUCUUGACGGUACCAAUCAGAAAGCCACGGCUAACUACGUG